ACAGGGUCUCACUGAGUGCAGCAGCACGAUCUUGGCUCACUGCAACCUCCAGCUCCCAGGUCCAAGCGAUUCUCCUGCCUCAGCCUCCUGAGUAGCUGGCAUUACAGGUAUGAACCAUCAUGCCCAGCUAAUUUUUGUGAUUUUAGUAGAGACAGGGUUUCACCAUGUUGACCAGGCUGGUCUGGAACUCCUGACCUCAAGUGAUCCGUCUGCCUCGGCCUCCUAAAGUGCUGGGAUUACAGGCAUGAGCCACCAUGCCUGGCCGCUUUCUGCAUUUUUAGUGUCACUCAACCCUUGUUGUCUCUGAUUGUCAAGGCAACGACUACGUGUAAACUAAUGUGGACAGAGUCUUGGACAGAGAAAUGCCUCAGAAAUGUUUUGUGAUGAAGAUGAAGGAGAGGCGCUGGAAGCAGAAACUGGGGAGGGGGUAGGAUUUGUGUCUCCACUUACUCUUCACCC
This 459-nucleotide non-coding RNA is filed under the name Pan troglodytes (chimpanzee). The record is from RNAcentral. Lineage: Eukaryota; Metazoa; Chordata; Mammalia; Primates; Hominidae.